Molecule: transfer RNA, 72 nt
Filed under: Schistosoma guineensis
Lineage: Eukaryota; Metazoa; Platyhelminthes; Trematoda; Strigeidida; Schistosomatidae
Description: tRNA-Gly
Source: RNAcentral
UAUAGUGAUAUUAUAAGUAUAUUAUGCUUUCUUUCCAUGUAAGAGAUCUCUGUUGUAGUAGAGUCAUUAUAG